This 254-nucleotide ribosomal RNA is filed under the name uncultured bacterium. Its description in RNAcentral is "partial 16S ribosomal RNA". It matches the Rfam family "Bacterial small subunit ribosomal RNA", at positions 524 to 776 of the family's 1533-position model. The record is from RNAcentral.
UACGUAGGGGGCGAGCGUUGUCCGGAAUUAUUGGGCGUAAAGAGCUCGUAGGCGGUGUGUCACGUCGGCCGUGAAAACCUGCAGCUUAACUGUGGGCUUGCGGUCGAUACGGGCAUCACUGGAGUUCGGCAGGGGAGACUGGAAUUCCUGGUGUAGCGGUGAAAUGCGCAGAUAUCAGGAGGAACACCGGUGGCGAAGGCGGGUCUCUGGGCCGAUACUGACGCUGAGGAGCGAAAGCGUGGGGAGCGAACAGG